This 78-nucleotide transfer RNA is filed under the name Planctomycetota bacterium. RNAcentral describes it as "Planctomycetes bacterium tRNA-Glu". It matches the Rfam family "tRNA". From Rfam's summary of the family: Transfer RNA (tRNA) molecules are approximately 80 nucleotides in length. RNAcentral also lists the same sequence under 1 other name. The record is from RNAcentral. Lineage: Bacteria; Pseudomonadati; Planctomycetota.
GCCCCCAUCGUCUAGCCCGGUCUAGGACAGGAGACUCUCAUUCUCCAGACAGGGGUUCAAAUCCCCUUGGGGGUGCCA